AGAGCGUGCUAAGUGGUUGAAGUGAUGGAUAAAGGUGGAUAAAGCGGUCUCGUUGACGAUACUCAUAAUCCUUUGGUCGACAGUUCAAGUCUGUCACGCCCUACCA
This 106-nucleotide transfer RNA is filed under the name Comamonas suwonensis. RNAcentral describes it as "tRNA-OTHER". The record is from RNAcentral. Lineage: Bacteria; Pseudomonadati; Pseudomonadota; Betaproteobacteria; Burkholderiales; Comamonadaceae.